Molecule: long non-coding RNA, 592 nt
Organism: Otolemur garnettii (small-eared galago)
Lineage: Eukaryota; Metazoa; Chordata; Mammalia; Primates; Galagidae
Exons: 2
Source: RefSeq, a predicted model, not a curated record
GGGCUGGCUCUUUUAGCCUGGGGCUUAGGGCUGCUACUCUGCCACUGGAACCAGAAAUGAGGCAAAGCGCACAUCCUGGCUGCUGUGUCUUUCUUUCCUCUUCUUGCCAAACUUCUCCCUCCUCCCCCUAACUCUUUUCUUCUUUCUGACCCCAAGAGAGUAGCAGUGUCUGUGAUUCUGACGCUAUGGAGCACUGAAAUUCUAGGAUCCCUUGGAAAAGGCUGUUUCACACUCACAGUCUGGCUUCAAUUCUCCACAACUCUUCCCACACCGAGCCCCCUCCCCCACAGGACUCCACACCCUCCUUUCUUUCAACCAGACUCACUCCCGUCCUCAUCUCAGUUGACACAAGCCCAAGGGUCUUAUUCCAGGGGUGGCACAGAAGGUGGAGACAAAGCCUGGCCAGAGCAAGAACACCGUGACAGCUUUGACUAUUCCUACAACACUCUUACCUGCUGCUAAAGAAUCAGUAAGAAUGGUGUGGUCAAGCUGGCAGAGAACCUCACACCACAAGUCCUGAGGAAGGCCAUGCUGGGAGGCCACUACAAGGAAUUCAUUUAGCAACAAAUAAAAUGUGGUGUCACGUGUGGUU